GACGAACGCUGGCGGCGUGCUUAACACAUGCAAGUCGAGCGGUAAGGCCCUUUCGGGGGUACACGAGCGGCGAACGGGUGAGUAACACGUGGGUGACCUGCCCUCAGCUCUGGGAUAAGCCUGGGAAACUGGGUCUAAUACUGGAUAUGACUCCACGGUGCAUGUCGUGGGGUGGAAAGCCUUGUGCGGCUGAGGAUGGGCCCGCGGCCUAUCAGCUUGUUGGUGGGGUGANGGCCUACCAAGGCGACAACGGGUAGCCGGCCUGAGAGGGCGACCGGCCACACUGGGACUGAGACACGGCCCAGACUCCUACGGGAGGCAGCAGUGGGGAAUCUUGCGCAAUGGGCGAAAGCCUGACGCAGCGACGCCGCGUGAGGGAUGACGGCCUCGGUGUAAC
RNAcentral lists this ribosomal RNA (397 nucleotides) under uncultured bacterium. RNAcentral describes it as "bacterial SSU rRNA". It matches the Rfam family "Bacterial small subunit ribosomal RNA", at positions 28 to 429 of the family's 1533-position model. The record is from RNAcentral.